This 253-nucleotide ribosomal RNA is filed under the name uncultured bacterium. RNAcentral describes it as "partial 16S ribosomal RNA". It matches the Rfam family "Bacterial small subunit ribosomal RNA", at positions 524 to 776 of the family's 1533-position model. The record is from RNAcentral.
UACAGAGGGUGCGAGCGUUGUCCGGAAUCACUGGGCGUAAAGGGCGCGUAGGCGGCUCGGUAAGCGUGCGGUGAAAGCCCGGGGCUCAACCCCGGGUCGGCCGUGCGAACUGCGGAGCUGGAGCACUGUAGAGGCAGGUGGAAUUUCGGGUGUAGCGGUGGAAUGCGUAGAGAUCCGGAAGAACACCGGUGGCGAAGGCGGCCUGCUGGGCAGUUGCUGACGCUGAGGCGCGAAAGCUAGGGGAGCGAACAGG